CAGAGCAUUACUGAUUAUAACUCAGCUUGAACCUUUCUAUCGAUCGGCUUUCACCUCUUUCAACAGUUUGACUGUAACAGAAUUCAGCUCUGGAUCCAUCAUCAAUACUGUAAAUGUAGCAUUCAGCUCCCC
This is a long non-coding RNA of Oncorhynchus keta (chum salmon), 132 nucleotides long. RefSeq lists it as uncharacterized. The record is from RefSeq and is a predicted model, not a curated record. Lineage: Eukaryota; Metazoa; Chordata; Actinopteri; Salmoniformes; Salmonidae. The transcript has 3 exons.